ACGUAGGGGGCAAGCGUUGUACGGAAUUACUGGGCGUAAAGCGAACGCAGGCGGUUCGUUAAGCUGGAUGUGAAAGAUCGGGGCUCAAACCCGGUUUGCGUUCGAUACUGGUGGAAGGGAGUAUCAAAGGGAGAAGUGGAAUUCCCUUUGUGAUGGUAGAAUGCGAAGACAUCACGAGGAUCACCAGGAGCAAGGUCAGUUUCCUGACCGACAACUCACUCUCGUCUGCAAGAGGUUUUAAAAUAAUUGU
This 250-nucleotide ribosomal RNA is filed under the name uncultured prokaryote. Its description in RNAcentral is "partial 16S rRNA". It matches the Rfam family "Bacterial small subunit ribosomal RNA", at positions 525 to 775 of the family's 1533-position model. The record is from RNAcentral.